RNAcentral lists this ribosomal RNA (346 nucleotides) under uncultured bacterium. RNAcentral describes it as "bacterial SSU rRNA". It matches the Rfam family "Bacterial small subunit ribosomal RNA", at positions 129 to 507 of the family's 1533-position model. The record is from RNAcentral.
ACCUUUGCUACGGAAUAGCCUCGGGAAACUGGGAGUAAUACCGUAUGUGCCCGUUCGGGGGAAAGUAUUUAUCGGCAAAGGAUCGGCCCGCGUUGGAUUAGGUAGUUGGUGGGGUAAUGGCCUACCAAGCCGACGAUCCAUAGCUGGUUUGAGAGGAUGAUCAGCCACACUGGGACUGAGACACGGCCCAGACUCCUACGGGAGGCAGCAGUGGGGAAUCUUAGACAAUGGGCGCAAGCCUGAUCUAGCCAUGCCGCGUGAGCGAUGAAGGCCUUAGGGUUGUAAAGCUCUUUCAGUGGGGAAGAUAAUGACUGUACCCACAGAAGAAGCCCCGGCUAACUCCGUG